CUCCGGUUGACAAGUCCCAAAUAGGACGAAACGUGCGUCCUGGAU
This is a non-coding RNA of Schistosoma margrebowiei, 45 nucleotides long. The record is from Rfam. NCBI's taxonomy places the organism in Eukaryota, Metazoa, Platyhelminthes, Trematoda, Strigeidida, Schistosomatidae.